RNAcentral lists this unclassified non-coding RNA (379 nucleotides) under uncultured bacterium. Its description in RNAcentral is "contains 16S-23S intergenic spacer region". The record is from RNAcentral.
UCGCGGCUUAUCACCGGCAGUCCCCUUAGAGUGCCCAACUGAAUGAUGGCAACUAAGGGCGAGGGUUGCGCUCGUUGCGGGACUUAACCCAACAUCUCACGACGCGAGCUGACGACAGCCAUGCAGCACCUGUCUUGGGACUCCGAAGAGCGACCCCCGUUUCUGGAGAUCUUCCCCAAGAUGUCAAGCCCAGGUAAGGUUCUUCGCGUUGCGUCGAAUUAAACCACAUGCUCCACCGCUUGUGCGGGCCCCCGUCAAUUCCUUAGAGUUUUAGCCUUGCGGCCGUACUCCCCAGGCGGGGCGCUUAAUGCGUUAGCUACGGCACGGAAAACAGAAAAGCUCCCCACACCUAGCGCCCAACGUUUACAGCGUGGACUAC